This 468-nucleotide ribosomal RNA is filed under the name uncultured bacterium. Its description in RNAcentral is "partial 16S ribosomal RNA". It matches the Rfam family "Bacterial small subunit ribosomal RNA", at positions 28 to 507 of the family's 1533-position model. The record is from RNAcentral.
GACGAACGCUGGCGACGUGCUUAACACAUGCCAGUCGAACGGAAAGGCCCUGCUUUUGUGGGGUGCUCGAGUGGCGAACGGGUGAGUAACACGUGAGUAACCUGCCCUUGACUUUGGGAUAACUUCAGGAAACUGGGGCUAAUACCGGAUAGGAGCUCCUGCUGCAUGGUGGGGGUUGGAAAGUUUCGGCGGUUGGGGAUGGACUCGCGGCUUAUCAGCUUGUUGGUGGGGUAGUGGCUUACCAAGGCUUUGACGGGUAGCCGGCCUGAGAGGGUGACCGGCCACAUUGGGACUGAGAUACGGCCCAGACGCCUACGGGAGGCAGCAGUGGGGAAUAUUGCACAAUGGGCGGAAGCCUGAUGCAGCAACGCCGCGUGCGGGAUGACGGCCUUCGGGUUGUAAACCGCUUUCGCCUGUGACGAAGCGUGAGUGACGGUAAUGGGUAAAGAAGCACCGGCUAACUACGUG